This 626-nucleotide ribosomal RNA is filed under the name uncultured Brachybacterium sp. RNAcentral describes it as "bacterial SSU rRNA". It matches the Rfam family "Bacterial small subunit ribosomal RNA", at positions 338 to 974 of the family's 1533-position model. The record is from RNAcentral. Lineage: Bacteria; Bacillati; Actinomycetota; Actinomycetes; Micrococcales; Dermabacteraceae.
CCUACGGGAGGCAGCAGUGGGGAAUAUUGCACAAUGGGCGAAAGCCUGAUGCAGCGACGCCGCGUGAGGGAUGACGGCCUUCGGGUUGUAAACCUCUUUCAGUAGGGAAGAAGCGAAAGUGACGGUACCUGCAGAAGAAGCGCCGGCUAACUACGUGCCAGCAGCCGCGGUAAUACGUAGGGCGCAAGCGUUGUCCGGAAUUAUUGGGCGUAAAGAGCUUGUAGGUGGCUUGUCGCGUCUGCCGUGAAAACCCGAGGCUCAACCUCGGGCGUGCGGUGGGUACGGGCAGGCUAGAGUGUGGUAGGGGAGACUGGAAUUCCUGGUGUAGCGGUGAAAUGCGCAGAUAUCAGGAAGAACACCGAUGGCGAAGGCAGGUCUCUGGGCCAUUACUGACACUGAGGAGCGAAAGCAUGGGUAGCGAACAGGAUUAGAUACCCUGGUAGUCCAUGCCGUAAACGAUGGGCACUAGGUGUGGGAUCCAUUCCACGGGUUCCGCGCCGCAGCUAACGCAUUAAGUGCCCCGCCUGGGGAGUACGGCCGCAAGGCUAAAACUCAAAGGAAUUGACGGGGGCCCGCACAAGCGGCGGAGCAUGCGGAUUAAUUCGAUGCAACGCGAAGAACCUUAC